AAAAAAUAAAGGCGAAAAAAUAAAAGACGAAGAAAUAAAAGACGAAAGAAAAGGAGUGGAAUAAUGGAACAUCUGAUGAGAGAAAUUUCGUUCUCACAUUUCUCUC
Molecule: non-coding RNA, 106 nt
Filed under: Polytomella parva
Lineage: Eukaryota; Viridiplantae; Chlorophyta; Chlorophyceae; Chlamydomonadales; Chlamydomonadaceae
Source: RNAcentral